Triticum aestivum (bread wheat) is the source of this 2577-nucleotide long non-coding RNA. RefSeq lists it as uncharacterized. The transcript has 2 exons. The record is from RefSeq and is a predicted model, not a curated record. Lineage: Eukaryota; Viridiplantae; Streptophyta; Magnoliopsida; Poales; Poaceae.
CAAUCCUUUGUUUCAUCUUAUCCAGACUUACCCUUUCCUGCGACGGCGGAGCACGAGGGGCGGCGCCCUCGUCGCCACCCACCGCCUCCCCUUCCUUCUGAGACCCACCUUGCCGCUGGCCCUCCCCCUCCUCUUCUCCCACCUUGCAGCUCCGGAGGCUGCCGGAUCCGCGGUAUCCCCUACCCACCCAUCCCUCUCCUGUCCCAUCUCUCACUCUUCACGCGGCUCCUCGUGGCUCCACCUACGGCGGAUGAUUCAGGCGACGUCCGGCGAAUCCCGCCAUCGCGAAGCACAGCCCGAGCUCCCAUCGCACCGCGGCACCCUCCCAUCCGGCUAUAUCCAGCACUCAAGGCCACCAAAGCUCACCCGCGACCCUCCCCCCAUGUCUAGGGUUUCGGGCAUCUUGUCCUCACCCAUGGCCAUGCCGUCCUCCUCUCGUCCGAUGUGCAGGGAGGAACGACCAGUGGACACCUUGUUGCUACUCGGGGACGAAGCGGCCAUGGAGAUUCCUCCUCCUCUGCUCCCAAGUCCUUAAUCCGCCGCAAUUAAGAUUGGCACUUCCUACGUCCCUCCUUCAGUUGCUUAGUCACUAGACACACGCAGCUAGGUUUUCUUUGGUUCAUUGAUAUGGUUCAUCUUCAUCGUGAUGGAUGUGCCCUCACAACCAAAAGGAUCAACAUACCUGCAUGGAGAUUAUUUAAUAACCUAGGUAAGGAUAAAACUAUAAAACUAAAUAGGACACACCUACAGUAAGAGACCAAUACAACGGCUCAAGUCUGAACUAAUUAAGUGGCGGCUAAUGAGUGAAAGAACUCUUUGUUUUUACUCUUUUAUUUUCUUGGUGUAUCCACAGAUUGCACCGUUUUUCUGUAUGAGAGGCACUAUUAGAGCCACCAUAAUAAUUCUAGAAGAGAGUUUUAAAGAACCAUAUGAUGUGUUAGCCAAUCAAAUGUAGGGUGUUACAUUGUAGAUUGGUUCGAGAGAGAGUUGGUUCGGUACUAUAGGCUUGUGCGUGACAACAGAAAUAUAUUAAUCCAAGUGGACAUUGUUUUCCUCCAGAAACGAGGUAGAUCCAUCUGGGAUGUGACAACGAAGUGCUGAGCAAAGAAGUGGCUUGGUGGGGAUGGCAUGCUUAAUUUGAUCUACUUUAAAUUAUCAUGCGCCUUCUUUCCUUUUACUUAUUAGUUCUCUCCCUAAAGCUAGAAAGACACCGUGACAUGCAAAUUUGACCCUAUCAACCUCAAGAAUUAUCUUUUCCUUCUAAAUGUCCCAGCGGAAGAUAAGAUUUGGCUUCACUGAUGUAAAUAAUUCUAAGAGGUUUGCAUCCUUCCUUUUUACUUAUGUACAUUAUUGAUGAUGGUGCUACCUAUGCACAUAUUCAGGUUGUAGCCAUAUUCAUUGUAAGCAGAAGUUUUUUUUGAAGAGCUAUCUUUUGAGCACAUGCUCAGGUUCGCUUGAUAUCUAAGUAAGGAUAAAACUGAUGGUUAGUACCUGAUAUGUCUUCUCUAAAAAAGUUCAAGUAUUUGAUACUUAACUUACACGUUGAAAUUUAACAAGCAUGGGAGAAUCUGACUGUCACAUUUGUAGAUUCUCAAUUUUUAGCUUAAGAUCAAGAUUCCAUAAGGCUAAUUGACCAGUUAAAUUGUAUUCAGUUUUGGUGUGGAAACUCAUUGACAAAAAUGUGUAUUUUAGACUUUUAGUUCCAAGUGUCAAUACUAGAAAGAGAACACUGAGCUUGAUCUUCAAUCAAAAUGAGUAACUGGAGCAUCAGCCUCUUUAAACUGAAACCUACAUAGGUAAUCAUAUAUGUUCUACUGCAUCAUUUGUUUAGAUGUCAUACUUUAAGUUAACAACCCCCGUUCUUUGUGCUACACCCAGCUAUAAAUCCUUGCAUCUGAUUUCAUAAAAUUCUAUUCCACCAUAUAAUGAAGCACAUAUUUUCAAAAAGCUAUAGUUCUGUUCCAAAGCGUGAUGAGCAGACCACCUGUAGGUUUGUCUGUUUCCUGCUGGAUGACCGAAACCAACUAGAGUUAAAUGUUUUGGUUCAGUUUCAGAUGACUAAAAAACUGGUUUGGUUCAGUUUGCUAACUAGCAGGAGAACAGAAGAGAAGUGGUACUGUCACUCACAUUGCCAGCAAGGUCAUCAGUGAGGCGGUGCCGCGUGGGAGAGGAAGUCAUAGGGGGUCGCUAGAUCUCACAGGGAAGAUCAGGGGAGAGAGGAGCUACCGCGCAUCCGUGCCAAAUCUGACAGACGGCCAUGCUUUUGUGCUAGGUCUGGGUGCCACGGUUGAGGUUCUGUUGAGGAGCAUGUGACACACAAAGCACGAGUAGAUGGAGUGGAGGUGUAGGGAGCACCGGGAGGUAGCUUCGACCUUACCACGGGCGAUGGUUGGAGAAAAGAAAGGGUGGCGCUGGGUGGUGAAAUAACACGAGGAAGAAAGAGGAGCUCCCGGUGGGAUUGGGGAUUUGGUACCGUUGUUGCUAUAGAUAUUGUACUUUGGCAUCCAGUAGAAGUUGCUAUACAUGCACUCGCAUUGAUUUUUUUUUCAAAGACAACAUGCCUACUUUUGAAUUCCA